AGGCUCAGGGUCUAUUGAAGAAGAAAUGGUGGAAAGAAUGUAAGAGCCAAAGGCAAGAUGAUGCCCCAGCUGCUUCCUCUGCCAUGAUUUUCUCCACCCUAAUGAAACCUCUCUUCAAAACUGUAAGACCAAAAUAAACCCUUUCCUCCAAUAUGCUGCUUCUGAACAGGUGUUUUUUUCCUUAGCAACCAGAAGCUAACUGCUGAACCUAGUAAAGCAAGUAGAAUGAUACAGUAUGGCCUGUCAUCAGAAUGCUAUCCUUCCUAAAGUCACCAGCAUCCCUCAUUCAUGCUGUCUAUGUCCAGUGUCUUCUGGGGAAGCUGCAUUCCCAUGGCUAUGGGUGAGAGGUUCCAGAUGUCACAUGCAUAGUUGAAACCAAUGACCUUAAAGAAUUCCGCUCAGUGACCUGAAUGUUCUUCCAAGAAUCCAAGCUGUGUUCACCCAGCCAAGUGCAUGGGAAACUACUUGAGGUGGAAGCAACUGACUUCUCAGGCUUGUUGGGGUGAGGAGGCCCCAGAACAGACCCCCUCUCUUGCCUAGCACAACUGCUGCCUCCCUGCAUUCAUCCCAAGAUUGGCCAGCAAGUGUGUAUGUGUUGCAAAGUGUUUUGAGUCAAGAGCCAAAGAGCCCUGACCUCCCACAACACAAAAUGCUGCUUUCAGCUUAAAUAUACACUGGAAAAACAAAUGUAAUCGUGUGGAAACCAAAUUACAAAAGGAAAAUUUUCAUCUAGCGCUCCCUGGACCUCCAUGGCAUUGGAUUUGGCUUCAGUUUAUAUCUUUCCCUUGGCGGAGAAAAUAUGCUCAAGAAUGAGGAGUCCAAGAAGGACGUCUGGAGUGGGACCAUGGAAAACGGUCGCAUGGCCCUUGGAGGCCGGAUCUUGUUCCUUUCCUUUUACCGCAUUCCCAGCAAAAGAACCAGUCCCCACUGCAGACCUCCUUUCUAGGACGCACAAGUCAAACUGGUCAGCGCUAGACCGGCUCGCCCCGCAGGCCCCGCCUUCACUGAGCCACGGCUCCGCCUCCGA
Molecule: long non-coding RNA, 1027 nt
Organism: Jaculus jaculus (lesser Egyptian jerboa)
Lineage: Eukaryota; Metazoa; Chordata; Mammalia; Rodentia; Dipodidae
Exons: 3
Source: RefSeq, a predicted model, not a curated record